GAUGAACGCUGGCGGCGUGCUUAACACAUGCCAGUCGAACGGAAAGGCCCUGCUUGCAGGGUACUCGAGUGGCGAACGGGUGAGUAACACGUGGGUGAUCUGCCCUGCACUUCGGGAUAAGCCUGGGAAACUGGGUCUAAUACCGGAUAGGAGCCAUUUUUAGUGUGAUGGUUGGACAGUUUUUUCGGUGUAGGAUGAGCUCGCGGCCUAUCAGCUUGUUGGUGGGGUAAUGGCCUACCAAGGCGGCGACGGGUAGCCGGCCUGAGAGGGUGGACGGCCACAUUGGGACUGAGAUACGGCCCAGACUCCUACGGGAGGCAGCAGUGGGGAAUAUUGCACAAUGGGCGCAAGCCUGAUGCAGCGACGCCGCGUGGGGGAUGACGGCCUUCGGGUUGUAAACUCCUUUCGCUAGGGACGAAGCUUUUUGUGACGGUACCUAGAGAAGAAGCACCGGCUAACUACGUG
Molecule: ribosomal RNA, 465 nt
Filed under: uncultured bacterium
Lineage: Bacteria
Description: partial 16S ribosomal RNA
Rfam family: Bacterial small subunit ribosomal RNA
Source: RNAcentral